ACAACAGUUUUGGGAAGGUCAUCCGGUGAAUACAUAUUGGGAGGAUGAGUUGAACCAGAAAAGGAUACCUCAUCAGAUUGACCAGCACGCAUUCGUUUCAUCAAAUGCUCUGAUUCGGCCAUUUGAAAGUCCAUUCCAGGACCGCCUGGGUUAGCUCUUGGAUGUUUUAGAAAGCCAGCAGCACCAGGAGCCUGCACGAGUCCAGGGGGACCAGGAGCAACAGCAGUGUGAGACAUA
This 237-nucleotide unclassified non-coding RNA is filed under the name Hevea brasiliensis (rubber tree). The record is from RNAcentral. Lineage: Eukaryota; Viridiplantae; Streptophyta; Magnoliopsida; Malpighiales; Euphorbiaceae.